Molecule: ribosomal RNA, 524 nt
Filed under: uncultured Geomyces
Lineage: Eukaryota; Fungi; Ascomycota; Leotiomycetes; Myxotrichaceae
Description: SSU rRNA
Rfam family: Eukaryotic small subunit ribosomal RNA
Source: RNAcentral
AAUGCCGACUAGGGAUCGGUCGGAUUGUUUAUCUUUUUGUACUCGCUCGGCACCUUACGAGAAAUCGGAAGUUUUUGGGGUUUCUUGGGGGGAGGUUAUGGUCGCAAGGCUUGAAACUUUAAAGAAAUUAGACGGAAGGGCACCACCGAGUGGAGCCUGCGGCUUAAUUUGACCCAACACGGGGAAACUCACCAGGUCCAGACACAAUUAAGGAUUGACAGGAUUGAGAGCUCUUUCUUAAUUUUGUGGGUGGUGGUGCAUGGCCGUUCUUAGUUGGUGGAGUGAUUUGUCUGCUUAAUUGCGAUAACGAACGAGACCUUAACCUGCUAAAUAGCCCGGCUAGCUUUGGCUGGUCGCUGGCUUCUUAGAGGGACUAUCGGCUCAAGCCGAUGGAAGUUUGAGGCAAUAACAGGUCUGUGAUGCCCUUAGAUGUUCUGGGCCGCACGCGCGCUACACUGACAGAGCCAACGAGUUCAUCACCUUGGCCGAAAGGUCUGGGUAAUCUUGUUAAACUCUGUCGUGCG